Non-coding RNA from Paramarasmius palmivorus, 97 nucleotides. The record is from the annotation of a GenBank genome assembly. Lineage: Eukaryota; Fungi; Basidiomycota; Agaricomycetes; Agaricales; Marasmiaceae.
UCCCUGGUCGUAUACCGGUUAAUACACGCGCCUUCUAUUGAGGCUCACGCAAAUAUCUAGCACGCGCGUAAGCUGGGUUCGAGUCCCAGUCAGGGAU